UUACAGGCUCUUGGUUACUCUCUAGA
This 26-nucleotide non-coding RNA is filed under the name Mus musculus (house mouse). The record is from RNAcentral. Lineage: Eukaryota; Metazoa; Chordata; Mammalia; Rodentia; Muridae.